Molecule: ribosomal RNA, 857 nt
Filed under: Ramularia endophylla
Lineage: Eukaryota; Fungi; Ascomycota; Dothideomycetes; Mycosphaerellales; Mycosphaerellaceae
Description: LSU rRNA
Rfam family: Eukaryotic large subunit ribosomal RNA
Source: RNAcentral
GGGAUUGCCCUAGUAACGGCGAGUGAAGCGGCAACAGCUCAAAUUUGAAAUCUGGCGCAAGCCCGAGUUGUAAUUUGUAGAGGAUGCUUCUAGGUAGCGACCGGUCUAAGUUCCUUGGAACAGGACGUCAUAGAGGGUGAGAAUCCCGUAUGUGACUGGCCCGCACCUUCUACGUAGCUCCUUCGACGAGUCGAGUUGUUUGGGAAUGCAGCUCUAAAUGGGAGGUAAAUUUCUUCUAAAGCUAAAUACCGGCCAGAGACCGAUAGCGCACAAGUAGAGUGAUCGAAAGAUGAAAAGCACUUUGGAAAGAGAGUUAAAAAGCACGUGAAAUUGUUGAAAGGGAAGCGCUCACAACCAGACUUCUAGGCAGUGUUCCGCCGGUCUUUUGACCGGUCUACUCUCUGUCUCGAGGCCAACAUCAUCUGGGACCGCUGGAUAAGACCUUAGGAAUGUAGCUCCCCUCGGGGAGUGUUAUAGCCUCUGGUGAUGCAGCGAGUCUCGGGUGAGGUCCGCGCUUCGGCAAGGAUGUUGGCGUAAUGGUUGUCAGCGGCCCGUCUUGAAACACGGACCAAGGAGUCUAACAUCUAUGCGAGUGUUCGGGUGUCAAACCCCUACGCGUAAUGAAAGUGAACGGAGGUGGGAAGCGUAAGCUGCACCAUCGACCGAUCCUGAUGUCCUCGGAUGGAUUUGAGUAAGAGCAUAGCUGUUGGGACCCGAAAGAUGGUGAACUAUGCCUGAAUAGGGUGAAGCCAGAGGAAACUCUGGUGGAGGCUCGCAGCGGUUCUGACGUGCAAAUCGAUCGUCAAAUUUGGGUAUAGGGGCGAAAGACUAAUCGAACCAUCUAGUAGCUGGUCUGC